This 83-nucleotide transfer RNA is filed under the name Spirochaetaceae bacterium. Its description in RNAcentral is "tRNA-Leu". It matches the Rfam family "tRNA". From Rfam's summary of the family: Transfer RNA (tRNA) molecules are approximately 80 nucleotides in length. Their secondary structure includes four short double-helical elements and three loops (D, anti-codon, and T loops). Further hydrogen bonds mediate the characteristic L-shaped molecular structure. tRNAs have two regions of fundamental functional importance: the anti-codon, which is responsible for specific mRNA codon recognition, and the 3' end, to which the tRNAs corresponding amino acid is attached (by aminoacyl-tRNA synthetases). tRNAs cope with the degeneracy of the genetic code in two manners: having more than one tRNA (with a specific anti-codon) for a particular amino acid; and 'wobble' base-pairing, i.e. permitting non-standard base-pairing at the 3rd anti-codon position. The record is from RNAcentral. Lineage: Bacteria; Pseudomonadati; Spirochaetota; Spirochaetia; Spirochaetales; Spirochaetaceae.
GUCGGCGUGAUUUAAUGGCAGACACGGCAGACUCAAAAUCUGCUGAGGGUAACUUCGUGAGAGUUCAAUUCUCUCCGCUGACA